ACACAGGGCGGUGGCGGCGGCGGUGGUGGUGAUGGUGACGGUGCUGUGCUACAGAUGGAGUCUGGAUCUGUCACGCAGGCUGGAGUGCAGUCGCGCGAUCUCAGCUCACUGCAACCUAUGCCUCCCAGGUCAAGCGAUUCUCCUGCCUCGGCCUCCCAAGGAACUGGAACCACAGGCGCGCGCCACUGCGCCCAAGGAUUUUCACUUUUAACUGUACAGUGAAGCACAGACUUCUGAGCCAGACUGCUUGGUCUGAACUCUGGUGUCACCACUUAGUAAGUUCUGGUUUGAAUGUACUCACUGAGUGGUCUUCAUAAAUUACCUCUCUGCACUUGAGUCUCCUGUCUGUAAAAUGGGGAUAAUAAUCAUUACAACGAAGCCUCAUAGGAUUCUGGUGGAGACCAAAUGCAUUAAUACAUAUGCAAAGCAUUUGGAACAGCUGGCAUAUAUAAGUGCCAUAUAUCUAUUAUUAAAAAUUUUUAAAUUAUAGAAUGGAUUAAUUUUUGGAUUUUAUAAGCAGAUUCCGCCCCCCGCCCCGCCUUAAAACUGUUAUGAAAAAGCAAGAAAGGCCAGGUGCAGUGGCUCACGCCUGUAAUCCCAGCACUUUGGGAGGCCAAGGUGGGCGGAUCACGAGGUCAGGAGUUCAAGACCAGCCUGGCCAACAUGGUGAAACCCUGUCUCUAGUAAAAACACAAAAAUUAGCUGGGCGUGCGGGCACCUGUAAUCCCAGCUACUUGGGAGGCUGAAGCAGGAGAAUUGCUGCCACUGCGGAGGUUGC
Molecule: long non-coding RNA, 778 nt
Filed under: Homo sapiens (human)
Lineage: Eukaryota; Metazoa; Chordata; Mammalia; Primates; Hominidae
Description: HSALNT0290992
Source: RNAcentral